UACAGAGGGUGCAAGCGUUAAUCGGAAUUACUGGGCGUAAAGCGUGCGCAGUCGGUUGUUUAAGUCGGAUGUGAAAUCCCCGGGCUCAACCUGGGAAUUGCAUUCGAUACUGGAUAGCUAGAGUUCGGCAGAGGGAAGUGGAAUUUCAGGUGUAGCGGUGAAAUGCGUAGAUAUCUGAAGGAACAUCAGUGGCGAAAGCGACUUCCUGGACCAGAACUGACGAUCAGGCACGAAAGCGUGGGGAGCAAACAGG
This 253-nucleotide ribosomal RNA is filed under the name uncultured bacterium. RNAcentral's name for it is "partial 16S ribosomal RNA". It matches the Rfam family "Bacterial small subunit ribosomal RNA", at positions 524 to 776 of the family's 1533-position model. The record is from RNAcentral.